RNAcentral lists this ribosomal RNA (301 nucleotides) under uncultured bacterium. RNAcentral's name for it is "partial 16S ribosomal RNA". It matches the Rfam family "Bacterial small subunit ribosomal RNA", at positions 509 to 809 of the family's 1533-position model. The record is from RNAcentral.
CAGUCGCCGCGGUAAUACGAAGGGGGCUAGCGUUGCUCGGAAUGACUGGGCGUAAAGGGCGCGUAGGCGGAUUGCGCAGUCAGAUGUGAAAUUCCUGGGCUUAACCUGGGGGCUGCAUUUGAGACGCGUAGUCUAGAGUGUGAAAGAGGGUCGUGGAAUUCCCAGUGUAGAGGUGAAAUUCGUAGAUAUUGGGAAGAACACCGGUGGCGAAGGCGGCGACCUGGUUCAUAACUGACGCUGAGGCGCGAAAGCGUGGGGAGCAAACAGGAUUAGAUACCCCCGUAGUCCCUGUCUCUUAUAA